ACUGUUGCAUAUUUCUAUAGCGGAUUGUGCUUUCUGCACCGGUUGCCUACCAUUAAAUUUUCGCAUGGUAGUUCAUGGCAAUGCUGGAAACUCCUUACUUUGAAAUGAUAUAAAAUCAGUGUUAAAGCAAUCAGCACCUAAGCAUCUGACGCCAGGUGAGAAAGUACGCGUGCCUGGUACCGAAACACACUAUCUGGCCCGGCAACGGCUACUUCUCCAAUCGAAGCCUAACCCAGAACCAAAACCCAAAUAGCAUUAUGCCAAUGUCCUUGUGGUUUGUUCAAGUGGUGAAAUUUGAGCAGCGAAGCUUGGGCGAAAAAAUCCAGCGGCAUCCUUUCAGCUUCGUGUCCUGUCGAGCUCUUUUCUUGGAGGCCUCAGCAUUGUCCUGGACGCUCAUUCCGAAGAAUGGGUCCUGUUAUGCCUCGUCUCCCAAUGUUCUGCUGAGCUUGCCCCGGCAGGCAGAUUGGCGUUCGGCCAUGUGGACAAGGAGGGCAAGACCUAUGUGCAUACCUGGGCCGAACUAAAUCGCACGUCCGGUUGGCGUAUCCCAUGAGGCUAAGUCCCGACGCCAAUUUAUUGGCCGGCUACCAGCGGUGCAAAUGGGGCGCUAAGGUUUCAGGCCAAUGAGGAUAACAUAUCACCAGU
RNAcentral lists this long non-coding RNA (645 nucleotides) under Volvox carteri. Its description in RNAcentral is "long non-coding RNA (VCAR_LNC000242)". Lineage: Eukaryota; Viridiplantae; Chlorophyta; Chlorophyceae; Chlamydomonadales; Volvocaceae. The record is from RNAcentral.